This 737-nucleotide ribosomal RNA is filed under the name Actinomycetales bacterium TLI005. Its description in RNAcentral is "bacterial SSU rRNA". It matches the Rfam family "Bacterial small subunit ribosomal RNA", at positions 99 to 846 of the family's 1533-position model. Lineage: Bacteria; Bacillati; Actinomycetota; Actinomycetes; Actinomycetales. The record is from RNAcentral.
CGAACGGGUGAGUAACACGUGAGUAACCUGCCCUUAACUCUGGGAUAAGCCUGGGAAACUGGGUCUAAUACCGGAUAUGACUCCUCAUCGCAUGGUGGGGGGUGGAAAGCUUUAUUGUGGUUUUGGAUGGACUCGCGGCCUAUCAGCUUGUUGGUGAGGUAAUGGCUUACCAAGGCGACGACGGGUAGCCGGCCUGAGAGGGUGACCGGCCACACUGGGACUGAGACACGGCCCAAACUCCUACGGGAGGCAGCAGUGGGGAAUAUUGCACAAUGGGCGCAAGCCUGAUGCAGCGACGCCGCGUGAGGGAUGACGGCCUUCGGGUUGUAAACCUCUUUCAGUAGGGAAGAAGCGAAAGUGACGGUACCUGCAAAAGAAGCGCCGGCUAACUACGUGCCACCAGCCGCGGUAAUACGUAGGGCGCAAGCGUUAUCCGGAAUUAUUGGGCGUAAAGAGCUCGUAGGCGGUUUGUCGCGUCUGCCGUGAAAGUCCGGGGCUCAACUCCGGAUCUGCGGUGGGUACGGGCAGACUAGAGUGAUGUAGGGGAGACUGGAAUUCCUGGUGUAGCGGUGAAAUGCGCAAAUAUCAGGAGGAACACCGAUGGCGAAGGCAGGUCUCUGGGCAUUAACUGACGCUGAGGAGCGAAAGCAUGGGGAGCGAACAGGAUUAGAUACCCUGGUAGUCCAUGCCGUAAACGUUGGGCACUAGGUGUGGGGGACAUUCCACGUUUUCCGCGC